AUCUCCCCACACCUGAGCUGUUUUCAGGGGAUGUAGGGAAGUGUGCGGGUUUUCUUAUGCAGUGCUCUCUCCAGUUUCGCCAGCGGCCUCAUGCCUUCUCUAAUGACGGGAGUAAGAUCUCAUAUUUUGUUCAGUUGCUACGAGAUCGUGCGCUGACCUGGGCACAAGCCGUGCUGAGCGCUAGUCCCGAAAUCACUUAUGAUGAUUUUUUGUCUCUGUUCCGGAGUGUUUUUGAUAAAGGCUCCACUGCUGCGGCGGCUGGGCUCCGCCUCAUGAAUCUGAAGCAAGGUAAGCGGAGCAUGGCAGAUUUUUCAGUUGACUUUUGGACACUAGCGACGCAAGCGGGGUGGGGGCAGGAAGCAUUAAAGACGGCACUGCUAAAUAAUACGAUCGCCUGCGUGCACGGCGAAGCACGCAACGUCGCUUCGCUCAGCCUCGGCAACCGAGGGAUGCCUCACCGGGGCCUGGAGCGGCACGCGAGCACUGCGAGGUUGAGGAGGAGGAGCAGCCCAUGCAACUUGGACGUUCGCAGCUCUCGCCCGCAGAACGUCAACGGCGUAUGGCCGCCGGUCAAGCCAGUGGUCUCCAGCCCGGUAUGCCCUCGUUCCAGGCCCCCGCCGCCCCCCCGGCUCGUGGAUGGCCAGCUGGUUUACACCGUCUCGUGCAUCAUGGACUCCCGGCGCCGGGGUCGGGGAUUUCAGUACCUGGUUGACUGGGAGGGCUACGGGCUAGAGGAACGUUCCUGGGUGCCCCGGUCGGCUAUCGUGGAUAGGGGUCUGCUCCGCGACUUCCACCGCCUGCACCCGGGUAAGCCUGGUGGGUCGCCGGGAGGCUCCCGUUGAGGGGGGGGGUACUGUCAUGGUCCCUGUGCCUCCCCGGCCAGCCCAGUGUGGCCACAAGUGUUUGUUGUUUUUCUCUCGCUCUCUCUCUCCUACCUGUCUGCCUGGGCGGAGCUCUGAUUGGGCUCCUGCCCUUGGCCCACGCACCUGCAGCUGAUCUCGAGCGAAUUGCAGUUCUCUGGCUCUU
This is a long non-coding RNA of Astatotilapia calliptera (eastern happy), 1026 nucleotides long. The record is from Ensembl. NCBI's taxonomy places the organism in Eukaryota, Metazoa, Chordata, Actinopteri, Cichliformes, Cichlidae.